Molecule: long non-coding RNA, 1221 nt
Filed under: Daphnia pulicaria
Lineage: Eukaryota; Metazoa; Arthropoda; Branchiopoda; Diplostraca; Daphniidae
Description: uncharacterized LOC124312668, transcript variant X4
Source: RNAcentral
UUCAAAUUCUACAAGUAGCUAAAGAAAAAAGAACUGAAUUGCUUUAAGUUACAUGGCAGAUACAGAACUGCAGCCCAGAUAACCAGAUAACUUCCCCCGAUAAUCAGUGUGGUGAAAACAUUUGUGUUGGAGUGUCAGAAGUGCUCAAUAGAUGACCUUCGUGUCGCUCGUUUAUCAUGUGAUGGCGCCAUGGCGGAUGGCGGAUUGUUGUCUUGUUGAGUGGUUGUCAAAAGUUUCCUGUUUUUCCAUGAAAAUUACCGAUGAAUUCAUAAUGUAGGAAGGAACGCGAAAGACAACUAGCCUACAAGUAGCCUACCAAUGCUUCAUCCUGUUAAUACAGGCGUGGUCCUCUCUAUUGUGGUUGUGAAUCUCUACUCUCUACUCGUCAACAUCUAUUGAGGAAUAACGAAUCUGCACUUAAAUAACGAUGGCGCAUUGCCAAUAAGUUUCAGCCAUUGACAGUAGACAGCAUGUUGCACGUCAUUUUGUUCUGGACUGGAGGAAGUGAGUUUUCAGUUUUCACUGAACACCCUGGAAUUCUCUAAAUUUAUUGAUCAUUGAUCAUUUGCCGACAAGGACAAGCAACAAGGCAACAUGUGAUGAUUCUGAUCUUGCCAUGAACGGAAGAGAACACUUGGUGCAAGAUCAUAAUUUGAUGGUUAACUUAUGAAGAGAAGGUGAGGAGAAAAUAAGGAUCUUAUUCCUCCAACAACUAUGGCAGAUUUGUUCCCGGUUUACCCUCGCCGCUGUUCGAUAGACUUUAUCAAUUAGUGGAAAACGACGAGUAGUUGGCCACGCUGAAUUUCAAGAUCUAUAAAUUAUAUAUAAGUUUAUAAAUUACAAGUGCAUAUCUGGGCUCCCUUCUUCAGUGGCCCCGUUUCCCUAAAUAACCACUAACCAACGCCCGCCGGUGGUCACUCACUCGCUGCGACAACCAGGAGGAAGGGAGAUGUUUGGUCGAACGGGGACUUGCAAGGCGCAUGAUUCGAUGAAAUCUGUUGGAGGGUCAUGAGUCUAAGCCGGAAGCCUACUAUGACACACUGCUCUCAUAAUAACUGCUCCUCAGCUCUCUUCGCUCUUUUUCCGGUUUCUCUUAACCAUGGCCGGGUAAUCUUCCUGGUCGAGUCAGUCGGGCAGUGUCUCCCCCUGCUCGACUGGCAGCAGUUUGACCCGGACGAUCUGUUUAAUAAGCUGUUUUAAAUAAAUUUGUUUGUUACUUUU